AGAGAUACGAUAGAUGCAAAACGA
This 24-nucleotide non-coding RNA is filed under the name Drosophila melanogaster (fruit fly). Lineage: Eukaryota; Metazoa; Arthropoda; Insecta; Diptera; Drosophilidae. The record is from RNAcentral.